Molecule: ribosomal RNA, 460 nt
Filed under: uncultured bacterium
Lineage: Bacteria
Description: partial 16S ribosomal RNA
Rfam family: Bacterial small subunit ribosomal RNA
Source: RNAcentral
CCUACGGGUGGCAGCAGUGAGGAAUAUUGGUCAAUGGACGAGAGUCUGAACCAGCCAAGUAGCGUGAAGGAUGACUGCCCUAUGGGUUGUAAACUUCUUUUAUAUGGGAAUAAAAUGUUCCACGUGUGGGAUUUCGUAUGUACCAUAUGAAUAAGGAUCGGCUAACUCCGUUCCAGCAGCCGCGGUAAUACGGAGGAUCCGAGCGUUAUCCGGAUUUAUUGGGUUUAACGGGAGCGUAGGUGGAUUGUUAAGUCAGUUGUGAAAGUUUGCGGCUCAACCGUAAGAUUGCAGUUGAAACUGGCAGUCUAGAGUACAGUAGAGGUGGGCGGAAUUCGUGGUGUAGCGGUGAAAUGCUUAGAUAUCACGAAGAACUCCGAUUGCGAAGGCAGCCUACUAAACUGCCACUGACAUUGAUGCUCGAAAGUGUGGGUAUCAAACAGGAUUAGAUACCCUUGUAGUC